UACGUAGGGGGCAAGCGUUAUCCGGAAUUACUGGGUGUAAAGGGAGCGUAGACGGUGAUGUAAGUCUGGAGUGAAAGGCGGGGGCCCAACCCCCGGACUGCUCUGGAAACCAUGUGACUGGAGUGCAGGAGAGGUGAGCGGAAUUCCUAGUGUAGCGGUGAAAUGCGUAGAUAUUAGGAGGAACACCAGUGGCGAAGGCGGCUCACUGGACUGUAACUGACGUUGAGGCUCGAAAGCGUGGGGAGCAAACAGG
RNAcentral lists this ribosomal RNA (253 nucleotides) under uncultured bacterium. Its description in RNAcentral is "partial 16S ribosomal RNA". It matches the Rfam family "Bacterial small subunit ribosomal RNA", at positions 524 to 776 of the family's 1533-position model. The record is from RNAcentral.